AACGCACCUUGCGCUCCUUGGUAUUCCGAGGAGCAUGCCUGUUUGAGUGUCAUUAAAUUCUCAACCUUUGUUAACUUUUUGGUUAGCAAAUGGCUUGGAUGUGGGGGUAUGCAGGUUUCUCUAUUGAAAUUAGCUCCCCUGAAAUACAUUAGCUGGUUGCCUUGUGUAAACUUGUCUAUUGGUGUGAUAAUUAUCACCGUGGCUGGAUUGCUUUAACGUCUAUGCCCAACCUUUUCCAUUGACUUGGAAAAACCCCACUUGACAUUUUGACCUCAAAUCAGGUAGGACUACCCGCUGAACUUAA
RNAcentral lists this ribosomal RNA (304 nucleotides) under uncultured fungus. Its description in RNAcentral is "eukaryotic LSU rRNA". The stretch from base 1 to 52 matches the Rfam family "5.8S ribosomal RNA", at positions 103 to 154 of the family's 154-position model. The record is from RNAcentral. Lineage: Eukaryota; Fungi.